This 372-nucleotide ribosomal RNA is filed under the name uncultured organism. RNAcentral's name for it is "partial 16S ribosomal RNA". It matches the Rfam family "Bacterial small subunit ribosomal RNA", at positions 526 to 896 of the family's 1533-position model. The record is from RNAcentral.
GGAGGGGUGCUAACGUUGCUCGGAAUUACUGGGCGUAAAGCGCAUGUAGGGCGGUCUAUCAAGUCUCGUGUGAAAGCCCUGGGCUCAACCCAGGAAGGGCACGGGAAACUGGCAGACUAGAGUACGGUAGAAGUGGGCGGAAUUCCGGGUGUAGAGGUGAAAUUCGUAGAUAUCCGGAGGAACACCAGUAGCGAAGGCGGCUCACUAGCCCGAUACUGACGCUGAGAUGCGAAAGCGUGGGGAGCAAACAGGAUUAGAUACCCUGGUAGUCCACGCCGUAAACGAUGGAUACUAGGUGUUGGAGGCUUGACCCCUUCAGCGCCGCAGCUAACGCAAUAAGUAUCCCGCCUGGGGAGUACGGUCGCAAGACUA